Molecule: transfer RNA, 75 nt
Filed under: Pseudomonadota bacterium
Lineage: Bacteria; Pseudomonadati; Pseudomonadota
Description: tRNA-Asn
Rfam family: tRNA (bases 5-71)
About the family: Transfer RNA (tRNA) molecules are approximately 80 nucleotides in length.
Source: RNAcentral
CGACUGGAUAGCUCAGAUCGGUAGAGCAUCGGAAUGUUAAUCCGAGUGUCGCGGGUUCGAUUCCCGCUCCAUGAA